RNAcentral lists this ribosomal RNA (1530 nucleotides) under Triticum aestivum (bread wheat). RNAcentral describes it as "partial small subunit ribosomal RNA". The record is from RNAcentral. Lineage: Eukaryota; Viridiplantae; Streptophyta; Magnoliopsida; Poales; Poaceae.
AUGGAGACGUCGCUCCUCAUCGCCGGCGCCCUCCUCCUCCUCUCCCUCGUCGCCCUGCUCCGCAACGCCGCCGCCCGACGCCGCCUCCCGCCGGGCCCGCCGGCGUUGCCGCUGUUCGGCAACCUGCUCUGGCUGCGCAACUCGGCGUCCGACGUGGAGCCCCUCCUCCUGGGCCUCUUCAAGCAGUACGGCCCCAUCGUGGCGCUCCGGAUCGGGUCGCGGCUGUCCGUCUUCGUGGCCGACCGGCACCUCGCGCACAAGGCCCUCGUGGGCGCCGGCGUGGCGCUGGCCGACCGCCCGCGCGCCGCCACCAGCUCGCUCCUCGGCGUCACGGACAACAUCAUCACCCGCGCCAACUACGGGCCCGUGUGGCGCCUCCUGCGCCGCAACCUCGUCUCCGAGACGCUCCACCCCAGCCGCGUCAAGCUGUUCGCGCCGGCGCGCGCCUGGGUGCGCCGCGUGCUCAUGGAGAAGCUGCGGGAGGAGGACACGCCCGACGUCAUGGAGGCGUUCCAGUACACCAUGUUCUGCCUGCUCGUGCUCAUGUGCUUCGGCGAGCGCCUGGACGAGCCCGCGGUGCGCGCCAUCGAGGAGGCCGAGCGCGCCUGGCUGCUCUACAUCUCCAGGAAGCUCACUGUCUUCUUCUUCGUCCCGGCCGUCACCAAGCACCUCUUCCGCGACCGCCUCCGCGUCGCGCACGCCCUGCGGAUGCGCCAGAGGGAGCUCUUCGUGCCGCUCAUCCAUGCGCGGCGGGAGUACAAGCGGCUGGUCGGCGAGGGCCGGGCGCCGGCCAAGGAGACCACGUUCGAGCACUCGUACGUGGACACGCUGCUCGACGUCACGCUCCCCGAGGAGGGCAACCGCCCGCUCACCGACGACGAGAUCGUGGCGCUCUGCUCCGAGUUCCUCAACGCCGGCACCGACACCACCUCCACGGGGCUGCAGUGGAUCAUGGCGGAGCUGGUCAAGAACCCGGCCGUGCAGGACAGGCUCUACGAGGAGAUCAAGGCCACCUGCGGGGAGGACGGCGCGGAGGAGGUCUCGGAGGAGAAGAUGGACGCGGCCACCAUGCCGUACCUCAAGGCGGUGGUCCUGGAGGGCCUGCGCAAGCACCCGCCGGGGCACUUCGUGCUGCCGCACAAGGCGGCGCAGGACAUGGACGUGGGCGGGUACCUGAUCCCCAAGGGCACGACGGUGAACUUCAUGGUGGCGGAGAUGGGCCGGGACGAGGGGACGUGGGACAAGGCCAUGGAGUUCGCGCCGGAGCGGUUCCUGGAGGCCGGCGACAAGCUGGCGGCGGUGGACCUGUACGGCAGCAAGGGGAUCAAGAUGAUGCCGUUCGGCGUGGGGCGGAGGAUCUGCGCGGGGCUGAGCAUCGCCAUGCUGCACCUCGAGUACUUCGUGGCCAACAUGGUCAAGGAGUUCGAGUGGAAGGAGGUGGCCGGCCACGAGGUGGACUUGGCCGAGAAGCGCGAGUUCACCACCGUCAUGGCCAACCCGCUGCGCCCGCGCCUUGUGCCCAGGAACUGA